CCUACGGGAGGCAGCAGUGAGGAAUAUUGGUCAAUGGGCGCGAGCCUGAACCAGCCAAGUCGCGUGAGGGAAGACGGUCCUAUGGAUUGUAAACCUCUUUUGUCGGGGAGCAAAAGACGCCACGCGUGGCGUUCCGAGAGUACCCGAAGAAAAAGCAUCGGCUAACUCCGUGCAAGCAGCCGCGGUAAUACGGAGGAUGCGAGCGUUUGCCGGAUUUAUUGGGUUAAAAGGGUGAGCAGGCGGAAGAUCAAGUCAGCGGUAAAAUUGAGAGGCUCAACCUCUUCGAGCCGUUGAAACUGGUGUUCUUGAGUGAGUGAGAAGUAUGCGGAAUGCGUGGUGUAGCGGUGAAAUGCAUAGAUAUCACGCAGAACUCCGAUUGCGAAGGCAGCAUACCGGCGCUCAACUGACGCUCAUGCACGAAAGUGUGGGUAUCGAACAGGAUUAGAUACCCUUGUAGUC
This 459-nucleotide ribosomal RNA is filed under the name uncultured bacterium. RNAcentral describes it as "partial 16S ribosomal RNA". It matches the Rfam family "Bacterial small subunit ribosomal RNA", at positions 338 to 795 of the family's 1533-position model. The record is from RNAcentral.